This 351-nucleotide long non-coding RNA is filed under the name Gallus gallus (chicken). RNAcentral's name for it is "lncRNA (ENSGALG00010007228.1)". Lineage: Eukaryota; Metazoa; Chordata; Aves; Galliformes; Phasianidae. The record is from RNAcentral.
CAGCUGGGGACUGCGGUGCUCUGGAGGCUCCUCCAGCUUUGCAAGCGCUGCGGGGCCGGGCGCAGGGUGCAGAUGAGAACGUGAUGGUUGUGGUCUGUGUUUGCCGUCAGCCAAACCCUGCUGGGAAGCAUCGCAGCUGCAGCUGAAGAGUGGUGAAAGGCAGGAGCUGGGGCAGAGGAGACCCGAGGAGAGCGGAGAAGGAAGACACCUGCAGCAGAAGAGGGUUCCCAUGGCGUGUGCCCGCCCGCCUUAGCCCCGGGAAGGCACAGCAAGAAGUCCUUCGGCUGCAAGUGCUCAGAGUGGACCUGACUUUACCUUCCUCUCUGUGCCUUUCUCUGCUCUCAGCCCUGG